UUGACCUCGAUCAGGUAGUUCCACG
This 25-nucleotide ribosomal RNA is filed under the name Alternaria sp. MY-2011. RNAcentral's name for it is "partial 28S large subunit ribosomal RNA". The record is from RNAcentral. Lineage: Eukaryota; Fungi; Ascomycota; Dothideomycetes; Pleosporales; Pleosporaceae.